This 31-nucleotide small RNA is filed under the name Bombyx mori (domestic silkworm). RNAcentral's name for it is "ovarian small RNA-3251". Lineage: Eukaryota; Metazoa; Arthropoda; Insecta; Lepidoptera; Bombycidae. The record is from RNAcentral.
UCAGUGAGGCCUUCCGCUUCGAGCGGAGGAG